This 253-nucleotide ribosomal RNA is filed under the name uncultured bacterium. Its description in RNAcentral is "partial 16S ribosomal RNA". It matches the Rfam family "Bacterial small subunit ribosomal RNA", at positions 524 to 776 of the family's 1533-position model. The record is from RNAcentral.
UACGUAGGGGGCUAGCGUUGUCCGGAAUCAUUGGGCGUAAAGAGCGCGUAGGCGGCCCGGUAAGUCUGCUGUAAAAGUCAAAGGCUUAACCUUUGAAAGUCAGUGGAUACUGCCGGGCUAGAGUCCGGAAGAGGCGAGUGGAACUCCUGGUGUAGCGGUGGAAUGCGCAGAUAUCAGGAAGAACACCAACGGCGAAGGCAGCUCGCUGGGACGGAACUGACGCUGAGGCGCGAAAGCGUGGGGAGCAAACAGG